Cinara cedri is the source of this 683-nucleotide non-coding RNA. The record is from the annotation of a GenBank genome assembly. Lineage: Eukaryota; Metazoa; Arthropoda; Insecta; Hemiptera; Aphididae.
AAUUAAAAUUUUCUCCCGGAAAAGGUGCUACACUCUAAACAUCGAAGCAAGAUUUCUGGUACAUUUUAGAUACAAAUAAAAAAAAAAAAAAAAUACAUAUAAUACAAUCAAUCGAUCCGUCGCUACGCUCUAAAUCUAAAAAAGUAGAUAGUAAUAUACUAUUCAGAAUAACUGAUUUUAUGAUAAACUGAACAUGUGCUACAAUUCACAUAUUUAAUAUAUUCCGCAGACAUCAAACAUAAUAAAGGACAUCAAACACCAAAUUAAUGACAACAGUAGAGUAUUUAUAGGGGGAAAUUAAUGAUGUAGAUCUCCGACUUGAAAUUUUUUUCAGUAUCAAUUAUUUGUGUGGCUAGAUGCAAACCAGGAUCUAGAUUUGAACGUUUCUUAACGGUUCAGAUUUCGAUAACCGUAAAGAUUUCGAAUUGGUAAUUUCUAGAUUUGUAUAUUCCGUCUUUCAAUGCGCUCCACGCCGCUUAUCUCGAGGGAAUUUCAUUAGUUUAAUGAAAAUACUCAUCGUUUCCGAAUUAAAAAGUAUUCGCGCUUUUCUUUAUAUAUUCGGAAGUCGCGAAACGAUGAAAUAAAGGACGGUAUUUAAUUCGAGCGCAUAUGGUAGUUAUUGUUAUAAAUCUGCAAUUUUUAGACUGUUCAACAAAUUACAUACAUAUUUUUCGGCACGGUGG